UCUGCUGCUCUCUGCUGCUGCAGCAGCUACAGAACGCGGUUCACACAGUGUCGGGUGAAGAGGAGCAGUGGUGCUGAAGAGCUAGAGACAAGAGGAGGCCAGCAGCAGACAGCGUGGGUGAGAUAGAGCAGAGAGGACAGAUUUGGAAAGUUAUGUGCAUAGCUGAGCAUGCCAGUCAGUUUAACAUUCUUAAUCAGAAAAGUCCUGGGCGUUAUGGCAUCUUCCAGAUUGGCGAUGAGGAAUGGUGUCAAAAUGAAAAAUGCGGAAGCAAGAACCUUUGCGAUAUGCCAUGUUCAUACUUACAGGAUUCAAACCUAAAUGAUGAUAUACAAUGUGCUAUCAAAAUCAACAAACUCCAAGGAUUUACGGCUUGGCCUGAAUGGGUAGCCAAUUGUCAGGGUAAAGAUCUCACAUUAUAUACACAAGGAUGUUAGCUGAACCCACUGAAUGGAAACUGACAAAGAGAUUCAGAUUCUACUAUCCUUGUCAUCUUCUACUUUCUUCUGUGGAUGAUAUAACCUAAUAAAC
Pseudophryne corroboree (corroboree frog) is the source of this 528-nucleotide RNA transcript. It is a transcript of the gene named lysozyme C-like, with no coding region annotated. The transcript is spliced from 4 exons. Lineage: Eukaryota; Metazoa; Chordata; Amphibia; Anura; Myobatrachidae. The record is from RefSeq and is a predicted model, not a curated record.